This 909-nucleotide ribosomal RNA is filed under the name human gut metagenome. RNAcentral describes it as "bacterial SSU rRNA". It matches the Rfam family "Bacterial small subunit ribosomal RNA", at positions 597 to 1520 of the family's 1533-position model. The record is from RNAcentral.
AAAGUUUGCGGCUCAACCGUAAAAUUGCAGUUGAUACUGGCAGUCUUGAGUGCAGUAGAGGUGGGCGGAAUUCGUGGUGUAGCGGUGAAAUGCUUAGAUAUCACGAAGAACUCCGAUUGCGAAGGCAGCUCACUGGAGUGUAACUGACGCUGAUGCUCGAAAGUGUGGGUAUCAAACAGGAUUAGAUACCCUGGUAGUCCACACAGUAAACGAUGAAUACUCGCUGUUUGCGAUAUACAGUAAGCGGCCAAGCGAAAGCAUUAAGUAUUCCACCUGGGGAGUACGCCGGCAACGGUGAAACUCAAAGGAAUUGACGGGGGCCCGCACAAGCGGAGGAACAUGUGGUUUAAUUCGAUGAUACGCGAGGAACCUUACCCGGGCUUAAAUUGCAAAUGAAUUAUGGGGAAACCCAUAGGCCGUAAGGCAUUUGUGAAGGUGCUGCAUGGUUGUCGUCAGCUCGUGCCGUGAGGUGUCGGCUUAAGUGCCAUAACGAGCGCAACCCUUAUCUUCAGUUACUAACAGGUUAUGCUGAGGACUCUGGAGAGACUGCCGUCGUAAGAUGUGAGGAAGGUGGGGAUGACGUCAAAUCAGCACGGCCCUUACGUCCGGGGCUACACACGUGUUACAAUGGGGGGUACAGAAGGCCGCUACCUGGUGACAGGAUGCCAAUCCCAAAAACCUCUCUCAGUUCGGAUCGAAGUCUGCAACCCGACUUCGUGAAGCUGGAUUCGCUAGUAAUCGCGCAUCAGCCAUGGCGCGGUGAAUACGUUCCCGGGCCUUGUACACACCGCCCGUCAAGCCAUGAAAGCCGGGGGUACCUGAAGUACGUAACCGCAAGGAGCGUCCUAGGGUAAAACUGGUAAUUGGGGCUAAGUCGUAACAAGGUAGCCGUACCGGAAGGUGCGGCUG